GACGAACGCUGGCGGCGUGCUUAACACAUGCAAGUCGAACGGUAAGGCCCUUCGGGGUACACGAGUGGCGAACGGGUGAGUAACACGUGGGUGAUCUGCCCUGCACUUCGGGAUAAGCCUGGGAAACUGGGUCUAAUACCGGAUAGGACCACUGCCUGCAUGGGUGGUGGAGGAAAGCUUUUGCGGUGUGGGAUGGGCCCGCGUCCUAUCAGCUUGUUGGUGGGGUGAUGGCCUACCAAGGCGACGACGGGUAGCCGGCCUGAGAGGGUGACCGGCCACACUGGACUGAGAUACGGCACCGACUCCUACGGGAGGCAGCAGUGGGGAAUAUUGCACAAUGGGCGCAAGCCUGAUGCAGCGACGCCGCGUGAGGGAUGACGGCCUUCGGGUUGUAAACCUCUUGCAGCACCGACGAAGCGCAAGUGACGGUAGGUGCAGAAGAAGGACCGGCCAACUACGUGCCAGCCGCCGCCGUAA
Molecule: ribosomal RNA, 477 nt
Filed under: uncultured bacterium
Lineage: Bacteria
Description: partial 16S ribosomal RNA
Rfam family: Bacterial small subunit ribosomal RNA
Source: RNAcentral